Nanorana parkeri is the source of this 108-nucleotide long non-coding RNA. RefSeq lists it as uncharacterized. The record is from RefSeq and is a predicted model, not a curated record. The transcript has 3 exons. NCBI's taxonomy places the organism in Eukaryota, Metazoa, Chordata, Amphibia, Anura, Dicroglossidae.
AUUAACAAAAAUUGAACCUCUCUCUGUGAAGUUCUUGAUGAUGCGAUAAAUGGUUGAUUUAGGUGCAAUCUUUGUAGCAGCAAUAUCCUUGCCUGUGAAUUCCUUUUU